RNAcentral lists this ribosomal RNA (478 nucleotides) under uncultured bacterium. Its description in RNAcentral is "partial 16S ribosomal RNA". It matches the Rfam family "Bacterial small subunit ribosomal RNA", at positions 28 to 523 of the family's 1533-position model. The record is from RNAcentral.
GACGAACGCUGGCGGCAUGCCUAACACAUGCAAGUCGAGCGAGCUGAUUCCUUCGGGAUGAAGCUAGCGGUGGACGGGUGAGUAACACGUGGGCAACCUGCCUCAUAGAGGGGAAUAGCCUUCCGAAAGGAAGAUUAAUACCGCAUAAGAUUGCAUCUUCGCAUGAAGAAGCAAUUAAAGGAGCAAUCCGCUAUGAGAUGGGCCCGCGGCGCAUUAGCUAGUUGGUGAGGUAACGGCUCACCAAGGCGACGAUGCGUAGCCGACCUGAGAGGGUGAUCGGCCACAUUGGGACUGAGACACGGCCCAGACUCCUACGGGAGGCAGCAGUGGGGUAUAUUGCACAAUGGGGGAAACCCUGAUGCAGCAAUGCCGCGUGAGUGAUGACGGCCUUCGGGUUGUAAAGCUCUGUCUUCGGGGACGAUAAUGACGGUACCCGAGGAGGAGGCCACGGCUAACUACGUGCCAGCCGCCGCCGUAA